CCUCAGAUCAGAUAAGUGACUUUUUUCUAUACUCUUACACUUUUUCAUUACACACAUAAUUUUUGUUAAUAUCACUUUAAAUGUUGUAGGUUUUAAUGUUUCAUGUUGUUCAUUUCUAUGUUGUCCCUGUUUCAGGGUCAGUAUUAUAGUGCUUAGCUCUGCUUAGGCUCAGACAUUUUCCCUCUCUCCCUGGCUUUCACUAACUGCCAGGGCUGAGAGGGGUCUGACAGGCUGUGAGACCGCACCGCCCGCGCGUCUGCGGUCUCACUAGUGCCCUCCCUCCCUCCCUUCUGUGUAAUUGCCGGCACCCGCUUAGACAUCCCAGCGGGUGCCGAGCAGCUCUAUCUCCCUCUUUUCCCCUGCCGGGUUUACUUCCGCCCGGCGGUCUGAGGCCGCGGGGAGCUCUCUCCUCGCGGCCAUUACUGGAGGGGGGGUGGAGCAAGUUCGCCUUCGGCGCGCUUCUCUUCUCUGAAGCGCGGGAAGGCUGAACGGCUCCUAGUUGCUCCUGCUGCCCUCCGUGGGCAAGGUUGUACGGUUUCUAUUUUCCCAUAUUUGCUUCUAAGGGUUAAUCAACCCCUUUUUCUCACUACCCUUCUCUUUGUUUGUUUGUUUGUAUCCUGUAAGUUUUUU
Molecule: non-coding RNA, 630 nt
Organism: Pelobates cultripes (western spadefoot toad)
Lineage: Eukaryota; Metazoa; Chordata; Amphibia; Anura; Pelobatidae
Source: the annotation of a GenBank genome assembly